Molecule: long non-coding RNA, 1017 nt
Filed under: Triticum aestivum (bread wheat)
Lineage: Eukaryota; Viridiplantae; Streptophyta; Magnoliopsida; Poales; Poaceae
Description: long non-coding RNA (TAES_LNC016965)
Source: RNAcentral
CUGACUAAAACAUGUUGACAUAGAAAGCAAGUGCUAUAAGCAAACAGGACUACUAUAGAGUUUAGACCAAAUUGCACUCUGAACAACAAAGAUCAAAGUACCGGCAUUGAAAUGAGAAAAACUGAAUAACCAUUCCAACAACUAAAAAUGCAAUGAGACAUCUAAGGAAAUGCCAGAGAGUAUCACUAACAGACAAAAACAUUCUCAAACAACAUGAGCAAGACCAAUUCUAAGUAAAAUUUACCUUGCUCCAGGCAUUGUUGAGGAAAUCGUUAACUGGUAGCUGCUCGGUUGGCUGGUGAGUAGGGGAUUAAUUGGCUAAUCGGCAAGUUAAUCGACCAUUUAAUUAAUUAAUCAGACGAUUUAUCGUUUUAUAGGCUACUCGGUGACCCUACGAGUAGGGAUUAAUCGGCAAGUUAACUGGUUAAUCGGAUGAAUUCUUGAACAGGGGCUCCAGGAGAGCGCGUCUUUCAACUCACUUCUACCGAAGAAAAAGUACAACCAUCGCAGCGAUUCUUUCUUCAAUCAUAGCAGCAAUCUAAGUAACUAUGAGACACAUAACUAUGCUAAUUAAGUGUCAUAAUACACACAUGUACCAUGUAUGCAAAAUUGAAUGCCGUAAUACAGUGUGCACACAAAAAUCAAACUAACAGCCAACAAACAAAUAGCUGCAUAUAGUAAUAAGAAGUUUUAAUACCAUAGAUUGAUACACCAGGUCAGACAUUAACAGAGAUCAAAUAAAUAGCCACAGAUCGAUAUACCAGGUCAGAACAUUAACAAGACAUUAUAACCAGCACCAAAUGAUGAGAUCGCAGGUGCUACCAAUUGCUACUGCAACCAUCCAAAAUGACACGUUCUACUAGUAGUACCGACAAGUAAGAAGAGCCAAGAAAAAAAAAUACAUGCUCUGAAUCCAGCCAUCAUGCUGCUCGCUGGAGAGCCAAUAUGUGUAGCCUGCCAUCUGAGGCCGCCACCCCGGCAUGCAAGCCCUCCAGCAAGGUUGCACCUUGGCACGCG